RNAcentral lists this ribosomal RNA (492 nucleotides) under uncultured bacterium. Its description in RNAcentral is "partial 16S ribosomal RNA". It matches the Rfam family "Bacterial small subunit ribosomal RNA", at positions 29 to 507 of the family's 1533-position model. The record is from RNAcentral.
AGUGAACGCUGGCGGUAUGCCUAACACAUGCAAGUCGAACGGCAACACAGUAAGAGCUUGCUCUUACGGUUGGCGAGGGGCGGAUGGGUGAGGAAUACAUCGGAAUCUACUUUUUCGUGGGGGAUAACGUAGGGAAACUUACGCUAAUACCGCAUACGACCUACGGGUGAAAUCAGGGGAUCUUCCGACCUUGGGUGAUUGAAUGAGCCGAUGUCGGAUUAGCUAGUUGGCGGGGUAAAGGCCCACCAAGGCGACGAUCCGUAGCUGGUCUGAGAGGAUGAUCAGCCACACUGGAACUGAGACACGGUCCAGACUCCUACGGGAGGCAGCAGUGGGGAAUAUUGGACAAUGGGCGCAAGCCUGCUCCAGCCAUGCCGCGUGGGUGAAGAAGGCCUUCGGGUUGUAAAGCCCUUUUGUUGGGAAAGACAAGCAGCAGGUUAAUACACGCCUGUUCUGACGGUACCCAAAGAAUAAGCACCGGCUAACUUCGUG